Gossypium hirsutum (cotton) is the source of this 124-nucleotide non-coding RNA. The record is from Rfam. NCBI's taxonomy places the organism in Eukaryota, Viridiplantae, Streptophyta, Magnoliopsida, Malvales, Malvaceae.
AAUGGGAGAAUGACAAAUAAGAUUUUUCCUCUUGAUUUUUAGCUUUUUCUUCCUAAGAAAAAUUCAAAUCCAACUAAAAAUGCUAAAAAUCAGAAGGAAAAAUCUGAUUUGUCGUUCUUCUAUU